Molecule: long non-coding RNA, 1050 nt
Organism: Alosa alosa (allis shad)
Lineage: Eukaryota; Metazoa; Chordata; Actinopteri; Clupeiformes; Clupeidae
Exons: 3
Source: RefSeq, a predicted model, not a curated record
CAGUAAUCAUUUUCACGAUUGUUUUUAACGGAUGCUUAUCGCCACUUGAUAAGCGCAUGCGCACACACAGCAAUUCCCAUCCCCCACCCCUGAUCAAAUUCAAAUUCGCGUAGCACUCUAGAAUCUUUGCUGAGUUUGCUCCUUUUCAACUGCAGUCACCAGUGACUUCAACCGUCACUUUCUGUCAUGCCUCUGACUGAAUGUGUAAGCUGUUCAAACUCUGCCGACAUCAUAUCCCAGGUGGUGUGUUGUGAGGACUGCUGCCCUAAGAACACUGAGUGCAUUCUGGAAUAUUCCAAAUGUGUGCCACGUCCAAGCUCGUAAGAGAGUUCACUCACCAUGUGGCAGCAGUGCGGUGGAGGCAGUGUGGCAGCAGAGCUGGCCUAAACAAAACAGUCUUCAGUCCUUGGAACCGCACCUGGCUCUUUGGCCCCAAGAACAAACCUUCCGUCAUAGGUGCCUCUGAUAGUGCAUCACUCACAAGAAUGGUAACAAGAAUGCACUUAAAGAAUGCCCUGGCAGGAGCAUCACAUAUGAAUGCUUUCACAGACAGUUGAAGUGCUUUGCCUCCAUGAACAAUGCCAUCUUGCUGUAACUGCUGCAACUCCUGGAGAAAGUCACUUAAGUACUCUUCCACCGAAUUUGGUUUUAGAUGGCCACAAUGAAAGGAGCAAAGUUGUGAAAGUUGCAGAGUAUGGGACACAUUUGGAAGUUGGAGGAUUUAAAAAGUGGCACACCAUCAAUGUUAAAGCACAAAUGUAGGUGCUCAACGAUUCCUGGAUGCUGAGACAAACGUUUGGUUUUGGAGUGGCAUUGUCGAGAAUCUACCAAGAAGUUUGUAAAUUAAAGGAUGGAAAAAGUAUGGGAUUUUGAAAUAGAAAAUGUGUAGGAACCCUGUUAAAAGAAACCUUUUCUCUGUCUCUCUCCAUUCAACUGGAUCUCUCAAUGUUCUCAUUGUUCUCCAAAAUUCCAUUACUUGUUACUACAUUGUACAUGUUGUCAUACAUUGUUCAUAUUUAGCCAUAUUUAUUCUGCCCUUAUAAGAUAACU